Molecule: ribosomal RNA, 1522 nt
Filed under: Escherichia coli
Lineage: Bacteria; Pseudomonadati; Pseudomonadota; Gammaproteobacteria; Enterobacterales; Enterobacteriaceae
Description: partial 23S ribosomal RNA
Rfam family: Bacterial large subunit ribosomal RNA
Source: RNAcentral
CGAAUGCUGACAUAAGUAACGAUAAAGCGGGUGAAAAGCCCGCUCGCCGGAAGACCAAGGGUUCCUGUCCAACGUUAAUCGGGGCAGGGUGAGUCGACCCCUAAGGCGAGGCCGAAAGGCGUAGUCGAUGGGAAACAGGUUAAUAUUCCUGUACUUGGUGUUACUGCGAAGGGGGGACGGAGAAGGCUAUGUUGGCCGGGCGACGGUUGUCCCGGUUUAAGCGUGUAGGCUGGUUUUCCAGGCAAAUCCGGAAAAUCAAGGCUGAGGCGUGAUGACGAGGCACUACGGUGCUGAAGCAACAAAUGCCCUGCUUCCAGGAAAAGCCUCUAAGCAUCAGGUAACAUCAAAUCGUACCCCAAACCGACACAGGUGGUCAGGUAGAGAAUACCAAGGCGCUUGAGAGAACUCGGGUGAAGGAACUAGGCAAAAUGGUGCCGUAACUUCGGGAGAAGGCACGCUGAUAUGUAGGUGAAGUCCCUCGCGGAUGGAGCUGAAAUCAGUCGAAGAUACCAGCUGGCUGCAACUGUUUAUUAAAAACACAGCACUGUGCAAACACGAAAGUGGACGUAUACGGUGUGACGCCUGCCCGGUGCCGGAAGGUUAAUUGAUGGGGUCAGCGCAAGCGAAGCUCUUGAUCGAAGCCCCGGUAAACGGCGGCCGUAACUAUAACGGUCCUAAGGUAGCGAAAUUCCUUGUCGGGUAAGUUCCGACCUGCACGAAUGGCGUAAUGAUGGCCAGGCUGUCUCCACCCGAGACUCAGUGAAAUUGAACUCGCUGUGAAGAUGCAGUGUACCCGCGGCAAGACGGAAAGACCCCGUGAACCUUUACUAUAGCUUGACACUGAACAUUGAGCCUUGAUGUGUAGGAUAGGUGGGAGGCUUUGAAGUGUGGACGCCAGUCUGCAUGGAGCCGGCCUUGAAAUACCACCCUUUAAUGUUUGAUGUUCUAACGUUGACCCGUAAUCCGGGUUGCGGACAGUGUCUGGUGGGUAGUUUGACUGGGGCGGUCUCCUCCUAAAGAGUAACGGAGGAGCACGAAGGUUGGCUAAUCCUGGUCGGACAUCAGGAGGUUAGUGCAAUGGCAUAAGCCAGCUUGACUGCGAGCGUGACGGCGCGAGCAGGUGCGAAAGCAGGUCAUAGUGAUCCGGUGGUUCUGAAUGGAAGGGCCAUCGCUCAACGGAUAAAAGGUACUCCGGGGAUAACAGGCUGAUACCGCCCAAGAGUUCAUAUCGACGGCGGUGUUUGGCACCUCGAUGUCGGCUCAUCACAUCCUGGGGCUGAAGUAGGUCCCAAGGGUAUGGCUGUUCGCCAUUUAAAGUGGUACGCGAGCUGGGUUUAGAACGUCGUGAGACAGUUCGGUCCCUAUCUGCCGUGGGCGCUGGAGAACUGAGGGGGGCUGCUCCUAGUACGAGAGGACCGGAGUGGACGCAUCACUGGUGUUCGGGUUGUCAUGCCAAUGGCACUGCCCGGUAGCUAAAUGCGGAAGAGAUAAGUGCUGAAAGCAUCUAAGCACGAAACUUGCC